Molecule: long non-coding RNA, 1453 nt
Organism: Acanthopagrus latus (yellowfin seabream)
Lineage: Eukaryota; Metazoa; Chordata; Actinopteri; Spariformes; Sparidae
Exons: 3
Source: RefSeq, a predicted model, not a curated record
AAGGGAACCUGCAAGGCAACCGGGCACCUGGGGAAGAUGGGAGAAUGUGGCUGAGGGGAAGGUCAACUGGGUCGAGCUUCGGAAGCCACACAACAUCCAAUUAAUUGUUAAGUCUAUGUAAUGUAUUGAAAUCUUAAAUUUGCCUAUUUUUGUCCCACCAAAAUUCCAAAACUCACAAUUUCAAAGUUUAAGAAGCUGGAACCAGUGAGCGUUUGACAUUUCUGCUUGAAAAUCGACUGAACUUAUGAAUCGAUUAUCAACAUAGGUGGCGAUUAAUUCAUUUGAUAACUGAAUCAGCUAAAUGCUUCCAGCAUAAGUGAAAGGGUUGGGAACCAGCGGCUCACACACUUAAAAUGAACACAGUUCAAGUGUGAAGCAUGGUAAAGUUAGAUGGCUGAUGGCGCCAUCUAGUGGACGGAGUCAACUACUGCAAGUAAAGAAAAAACCCCUCUGUAAGUUCUGUUACUGUUCAGUUAAGUCCUGCACAUGUACUCGCAUGAAUUACUCCCCUCAAGACUAGCCCGGACAUGUAACCUUAACAGUGACACCCUUGACCCUUUAUCCAACAAGGAACCGUAAAUAACGUAACAAUAUCCGCGGACAUCCAAAAUGGCGUUACUGUGCGGCACAGUAAGGUCGGACAUCUAAGUGACUUCUCUCGGCCAAUCAGCGAAGACUGGAUAGUGUCCAAGCCAUCGGACCAAUCAGCAGCGGCCCAGAGCAUUUCCAACUUCCCUGUUUAUACCGGAACGCGCGAAGUACGGCUGCGUACUCCCAGGAAGUCCCAGCAUCAAAACAAGCAAUGUCUUAGUCACCAGUCAGUUACCAAGAGCUCCAAUGCAAACAUGGGGGGCACCGACAAGAGCGACAUGCUGGUCGACCUCUACCACACCCCCUGGAAAUCCAAGAGCGGGACUGCAAGGCUCUUGGUUUGGCUGGCCUGUCACUAAAGAACUUCAGGCUCCAGGUGUUCAAGGAUGCCAGCAGUCAGAAGCCAGUCACGUUUUGCCCUGGAAGGAGCUCAGCAGACCUCAGCACCUCUGUCGAUGUCCCCAGGCCUGUCCGGGGACACCGCAGCCACACCCCAGCUGAUCCUGUGCGGUUUGGGUUUGAUCCGUCCCAUUUCCAUGCCCCUGUUUACACCAGUUGGCAGACCUGCAAGCACUGCAGCAGGAAGGGAAACAUCAAGCGGUCAAAUGUGGUCUGCAGGGUGUGCAAGGUCCACAAGGUCCACCUGUGCCUCAGUGCUGAGCGCAACUGCUUUAUUGACUUCCAUGAGUCCGCUGCAUGAAUGACUGGGUUGGAUUUAGUGGACUCUGAUACAUGUUACAUUUGUUAUUUAUGUUAUAUCAUGUUUUGUUUUUUUUAUUUAUAUACAUAUAUGUAAAUAUAUGACAUAUAAAAUAUUCAAGUUCCAUAAAACAUGCUAAAAAUAAAUGCUCAUUUCAGUUUA